Molecule: ribosomal RNA, 469 nt
Filed under: uncultured bacterium
Lineage: Bacteria
Description: partial 16S ribosomal RNA
Rfam family: Bacterial small subunit ribosomal RNA
Source: RNAcentral
AACAAACGCUGGCGGCGUGCCUAAUACAUGCAAGUCGAACGAGGUAGCAAUACCUAGUGGCGCACGGGUGAGUAACGCGUGGAUAAUCUGCCUUCGAGUGGGGGAUAACUAGUCGAAAGUUUAGCUAAUACCGCAUAAGACCACAGGAACUGAGGUUCUAGGGGUUAAAGGUUUUUCGCUCAUAGAUGAGUCCGCGUGAGAUUAGCUAGUUGGUGAGGUAACGGCUCACCAAGGCGACGAUCUCUAACUGGUCUGAGAGGAUGAUCAGUCACACUGGAACUGAGACACGGUCCAGACUCCUACGGGAGGCAGCAGUAGGGAAUAUUGCACAAUGGAGGAAACUCUGAUGCAGCGACGCCGCGUGAGUGAUGACGGCUUUCGGGUCGUAAAGCUCUGUCGCAGGGGAAUAACACAAUGAAUGUAUCCUGUAAGAAAGGAUCGGCUAACUUCGUGCCAGCAGCCGCGGUAA